This 377-nucleotide ribosomal RNA is filed under the name uncultured delta proteobacterium. RNAcentral's name for it is "bacterial SSU rRNA". It matches the Rfam family "Bacterial small subunit ribosomal RNA", at positions 521 to 896 of the family's 1533-position model. Lineage: Bacteria; Deltaproteobacteria. The record is from RNAcentral.
UAAUACGGAGGGUGCAAGCGUUGUUCGGAAUUAUUGGGCGUAAAGAGCGUGUAGGCGGUCCGGUAAGUCAGAUGUGAAAGCCCUGGGCUCAACCCAGGAAGUGCAUUUGAAACUACCAGACUUGAGUACGGGAGAGGAGGGGGGAAUUCCCGGUGUAGAGGUGAAAUUCGUAGAUAUCGGGAGGAAUACCAGUGGCGAAGGCGCCCCUCUGGACCGAUACUGACGCUGAGACGCGAAAGCGUGGGGAGCAAACAGGAUUAGAUACCCUGGUAGUCCACGCCGUAAACGAUGAGCACUAGGUGUAGCGGGUAUUGACCCCUGCUGUGCCGUAGCUAACGCAUUAAGUGCUCCGCCUGGGGACUACGGUCGCAAGACUA